RNAcentral lists this non-coding RNA (92 nucleotides) under Clostridium nigeriense. RNAcentral's name for it is "Purine riboswitch". The stretch from base 12 to 92 matches the Rfam family "Purine riboswitch aptamer", at positions 18 to 98 of the family's 102-position model. From Rfam's summary of the family: Riboswitches are metabolite binding domains within certain messenger RNAs that serve as precision sensors for their corresponding targets. Allosteric rearrangement of mRNA structure is mediated by ligand binding, and this results in modulation of gene expression. A class of riboswitches that selectively recognises guanine and becomes saturated at concentrations as low as 5 nM. The record is from RNAcentral. Lineage: Bacteria; Bacillati; Bacillota; Clostridia; Eubacteriales; Clostridiaceae.
CGUACAAUGAUAACUCAUAUAAAGUUGACAAUAAGGGUCAAAAGUUUCUACCAAGAUGCCGUAAAUAUCUUGACUAUGAGUUAAAUGCUUAA